Molecule: long non-coding RNA, 985 nt
Organism: Amphiprion ocellaris (clown anemonefish)
Lineage: Eukaryota; Metazoa; Chordata; Actinopteri; Pomacentridae
Source: Ensembl
CAGCAAUGUGCCGCAAGGCAUCCAGCCUGCCGGAAAUUCAGAAGAAGAAGAAGAAGAAGCAGGAAGAGCUCAGCGCUGCCUCCCAGAGAAGCUAAUGUGCAGUCGGGGUGUAAGUACCUGCUUUAAACAACGAUAUAUGGCACAAUUCUUAACUUCUACCACCCAAUACCAACACAUUAUUAUCGUUACAAGUCCUCAUUUUUGCUGCAUUUAAUCAUAGGUUACUGUUUAUGUUGUUAGGUAGGAGUUCGCUGACGUUUUUUCUAGCUAGCAAACGCUCCAGGUGGUCAGUGUCUGUUUGAGCUGCUGUUGUGUCAAGUGCAUGUGUUCAUAUUAAAGCCAAGGUGCUACUGACUAGCUAACUGACUGGAUGCACAUUAACAUUAGAACUCCUAUUGUGUGUGUGUGUGUGUGUGUGUGUGUGUGUGUGUGUGUGUGUGUGUGUGUGUGUGUGUGUGUGUGUGUGUGUCUGUCUGUCUGUCUGUCUGUCUGUCUGUCUGUCUGUCUGUCUGUCUGUCUGUCUGUCUGUCUGUCUGUCUGUCUGUGUGUGUGUGUGUGUGUGUGUGUCUGUGUGUGUAUGUGUGUGUGUGUGUGUGUGUACAGACAGACAGACAGACAGACAGACAGACAGCCUCAUCAUGGACACCGAAAAGUUGUAAGAAAAAAUGAAAGCUGCUACCAGCCUCUCGCUUUUACAAAGUAUUUUUCAUGGUUAUUUUUUGGCUCUUUAACCCAAUAGGAAAGCUGUAUAUGACCUUUUCAUUUUGGACUGUUAACAUUCAAAUUAUGAUGGACUUGUUUCCUUGUUUAUGUGAAUUACAGCAUCAUUAGCUGCAACAUCUGCCUGUUCUGUAAAACUGGUAGCUCAACGACAGCAUCCUGAGGGCAAUUAAGUGACAAAUAUUGUGCAAGAACAGCAUGAUUACAACCCUGUCAAUUUCCACUUCUUAGAAUGUUUACUGUCAAUUAUCACACAUAAAACAAG